UAAAGUUUGAUUCUUGCUUAGAUUUCUAUUUUAUGGUUAAGGGGUACAUGUAAACUUUAGUGUGCAUUCGAGAGGGUUAAAUACUUCGUGGGUGCUGUGAAGCGGAGCUCAUGAGGGAUUUAAUCGCAGUAUAAGAAAUUGAAAAAUUGAGAGAGACAGAUUUGGUAAAUUAUAAUAGGUCCGGUUAAACUUUGUGCCAGCCACCGCGGUUAGACUUGGGGGGUAAGUAGAAAGUUAUUAGUUGAAAAAGUUACUUAAGUUGAGAGGUGAGAAUUUGUUUACAUCAAUAAAGGGUGAAAUCAAAAUUAUUGGGAAGAAAUGAAGGUAAUUUCGAAAAGAUGAGGAGGCUUAUAAGGUUGGGGAAUAAACUAGGAUUAGAUACCCUACUAUACUCAAGGGAAAUUAAUAGAGACUUAAAUAUUAAUAGGUAGUUUCUUUAAAUUUAAAGAAUUUGGCGGUAUUUUAGUCUAGUUAGAGGAACCUGUUUCGUAAACGACAAAACACGAAGUAUCUUACUAGCUUUUGUUUUCAGUUUGUAUACCGCCAUUAUUAGAUAACUUUUAUAGAAUUAAGUCAUUGAAAAUAAGAAUAGUUUAGGAGUUAAGUAUAUUAGGUCAAGGUGCAGCUCAUGGGUUAGAGAGAAUGGGUUACAAUAAAAUUUAUUUAUACGGAUUUGGUAAGGGAAUCUUACUAUUAAGGAGGAUUUAAUUGUAAUGAAAAAGGUUAACAAGGUUUGAUGAUAUUAGUACUAAAUUAUGUACAUAUUGCCCGUCGCUUUCAUUUAAAGUGGAAUAAGUCGUAACAUAGUAAGUGUACUGGAAAGUGCACUUGGAAGUAAG
RNAcentral lists this non-coding RNA (839 nucleotides) under Engaeus lyelli. The record is from RNAcentral. Lineage: Eukaryota; Metazoa; Arthropoda; Malacostraca; Decapoda; Parastacidae.